This 117-nucleotide non-coding RNA is filed under the name Nomascus leucogenys (northern white-cheeked gibbon). The record is from Rfam by way of RNAcentral. Lineage: Eukaryota; Metazoa; Chordata; Mammalia; Primates; Hylobatidae.
GCUGGGCGCGGUGGCUCACGCCUGUAAUCCCAGCGCUUUGGGAGGCUGAGGUGGGUGGAUCACCUGAGGUCAGGAGUUCAAGACCAGCCUGACCAACAUGGUGAAACUCCACCUUUA